RNAcentral lists this ribosomal RNA (758 nucleotides) under uncultured bacterium. RNAcentral's name for it is "bacterial SSU rRNA". It matches the Rfam family "Bacterial small subunit ribosomal RNA", at positions 8 to 796 of the family's 1533-position model. The record is from RNAcentral.
AGAGUUUGAUCAUGGCUCAGAAUCAACGCUGGCGGCGCGCUUAACACAUGCAAGUCGAACGAGAAAGCAGGGGCAACCCUGUGAGUACAGUGGCGUACGGGUGAGUAACACGUGGGUAAUCUACCUCAUAGUGGGGAAUAACGCUGGGAAACCGGCGCUAAUACCGCAUAAUCCCGAGAGGGCAAAGGAGCAAUCCGCUUUGGGAGGAGUCCGCGGCCGAUUAGCUUGUUGGUAGGGUAAUGGCCUACCAAGGCUUUGAUCGGUAGCCGGCCUGAGAGGGCACACGGCCACACUGGCACUGAAACACGGGCCAGACUCCUACGGGAGGCAGCAGUGGGGAAUCUUGCACAAUGGGGGAAACCCUGAUGCAGCGACGCCGCGUGAGCGAUGAAGCCCUUCGGGGUGUAAAGCUCUUUCGGCAGGGACGAUUAUGACGGUACCUGCAGAAGCAGCUGCGGCUAACUACGUGCCAGCAGCCGCGGUAAUACGUAGGCAGCAAGCGUUGUUCGGAGUUACUGGGCGUAAAGGGUGUGUAGGUGGCCUGUUAAGUUCCGUGUGAAAUCUCCCGGCUCAACCGGGAGGGUGCGCGGAAAACUGGCGGGCUAGAGUGCGGGAUGGGAGAGUAGAAUUCCUGGUGUAGCGGUGAAAUGCGUAGAUAUCAGGAGGAAUACCUGUGGUGUAGACGGCUCUCUGGACCGCAACUGACACUGAGACACGAAAGCGUGGGUAGCAAACAGGAUUAGAUACCCUAGUAGUCC